GAAACUACGCCUACAUGAAGCUGGAGUUACUAGUAAUCGCAGAUCAGAAUGCUGCGGUGAAUGCGUUCCCGGGUCUUGUACACACCGCCCGUCACACCACGGAAGUUGGGGCGCCCGAAGCCACUUAGCUAACCCUUUUGGGAAGCGAGUGUCGAAGGUGAAAUCAAUAACUGGGGUGAAGUCGUAACAAGGUAAC
RNAcentral lists this ribosomal RNA (196 nucleotides) under uncultured bacterium. RNAcentral describes it as "partial 16S ribosomal RNA". It matches the Rfam family "Bacterial small subunit ribosomal RNA", at positions 1307 to 1500 of the family's 1533-position model. The record is from RNAcentral.